CCCAGGAGCCAAGAAGACAAGGAAAACCCUUUUUGUUCAUCCAAAAUUCAACAAUUGAAGCUUUAAUCUUGGCUAGCACUCAUGCAUGUCCUUGAUUCCUUAGUCAUCCAAGCAUACUAACACACUAGGAGUUAAGGAAGAAAGUUCAAGCCGUUCCGGAACACAAGCUAGCAACGACAAAGGUAAAUCGUCUUGAUAAUUGGCGCCGCCUUGGAACGGACAUACCAAUUCGCUCGCUUCCGCAAUGAUGCUAGUUGAUGGGUCUAAACUUUUGUUAGAUGGUUUUGGUUAUGUUGGGUCUUUUGUUGAUAACUUAACUUUGAAGUUUGUCGAUGUCGAAAGUUUUGUGGUUUUAAGACUAUGUUAGUUGUUUAAGGACUCUUGGGAUGUAAACUCUUUUGUAAAUUA
Long non-coding RNA from Helianthus annuus (common sunflower), 408 nucleotides. RefSeq lists it as uncharacterized. The transcript is spliced from 3 exons. The record is from RefSeq and is a predicted model, not a curated record. Lineage: Eukaryota; Viridiplantae; Streptophyta; Magnoliopsida; Asterales; Asteraceae.